UUUUGCGUUGUCUGGGCUCGGCGGCAGCCGGGCUCGGACUGGACGUGCCACUAUGGGGUCGUCCAAGAAGCAUCGCGGAGAGAAGGAGGCGGCCGGGACGACGGCGGCGGCCGGCACCGGGGGUGCCACCGAGCAGCCGCCGCGGCACCGGGAACACAAAAAACACAAGCACCGGAGUGGCGGCAGUGGCGGUAGCGGUGGCGAACGACGGAAGCGGAGCCGGGAACGUGGGGGCGAGCGCGGGAGCGGGCGGCGCGGGGCCGAAGCUGAGGCCCGGAGCAGCACGCACGGGCGGGAGCGCAGCCAGGCAGAGCCCUCCGAGCGGCGCGUGAAGCGGGAGAAGCGCGAUGACGGCUACGAGGCCGCUGGAGCCAACGAUGCUGGCUUCUUGGCCCUGUGUUCAGCUCCUGAGCCAUGCUUCUUCUUGUUCCAGCUGCCAGCUCCAAAACUAGCUCAGGCGAUGCCUCCUCACUCAGCAUCGAGGAGACUAACAAACUCCGGGCAAAGUUGGGGCUGAAACCCUUGGAGGUUAAUGCCAUCAAGAAGGAGGCGGGCACCAAGGAGGAGCCCGUGACAGCUGAUGUC
This 585-nucleotide small RNA is filed under the name Pan troglodytes (chimpanzee). Its description in RNAcentral is "processed transcript". Lineage: Eukaryota; Metazoa; Chordata; Mammalia; Primates; Hominidae. The record is from RNAcentral.